This 496-nucleotide ribosomal RNA is filed under the name uncultured bacterium. Its description in RNAcentral is "partial 16S ribosomal RNA". It matches the Rfam family "Bacterial small subunit ribosomal RNA", at positions 28 to 508 of the family's 1533-position model. The record is from RNAcentral.
GACGAACGCUGGCGGCGUGCCUAAUACAUGCAAGUAGAACGCUGAAGGAGGAGCUUGCUCUUCUGGAUGAGUUGCGAACGGGUGAGUAACGCGUAGGUAACCUGCCUGGUAGCGGGGGAUAACUAUUGGAAACGAUAGCUAAUACCGCAUAACAGUAGAUGUUGCAUGACAUUUGCUUAAAAGGUGCAAUUGCACCACUACCAGAUGGACCUGCGUUGUAUUAGCUAGUUGGUGGGGUAACGGCUCACCAAGGCGACGAUACAUAGCCGACCUGAGAGGGUGAUCGGCCACACUGGGACUGAGACACGGCCCAGACUCCUACGGGAGGCAGCAGUAGGGAAUCUUCGGCAAUGGACGGAAGUCUGACCGAGCAACGCCGCGUGAGUGAAGAAGGUUUUCGGAUCGUAAAGCUCUGUUGUAAGAGAAGAACGAGUGUGAGAGUGGAAAGUUCACACUGUGACGGUAUCUUACCAGAAAGGGACGGCUAACUACGUGC